GGUGCGAUAGGGAGGAGAGGAAGAAGGGGGGUAUGAUAGGGAGGAGAGGAAGAAGGGGGAUAUGAUAGGGAGGAGAGGAAGAAGGGGGUAUGAUAGGGAGGAGAGGAAGAAGGAGGUAUGAUAGGGAGGAGAGGAAGAAGGAGGUAUGAUAGGGAGGAGAGGAAGAAGGAGGUAUGAUAGGGAGGAGAGGAAGAAGGGGGUAUGAUAGGGAGGAGAGGAAGAAGGAGGUAUGAUAGGGAGGAGAGGAAGAAGGAGGUAUGAUAGGGAGGAGAGGAAGAAGGAGGUAUGAUAGGGAGGAGAGGAAGAAGGAGG
Long non-coding RNA from Oncorhynchus tshawytscha (Chinook salmon), 312 nucleotides. NCBI's taxonomy places the organism in Eukaryota, Metazoa, Chordata, Actinopteri, Salmoniformes, Salmonidae. The record is from Ensembl.